RNAcentral lists this ribosomal RNA (780 nucleotides) under uncultured bacterium. RNAcentral describes it as "bacterial SSU rRNA". It matches the Rfam family "Bacterial small subunit ribosomal RNA", at positions 73 to 856 of the family's 1533-position model. The record is from RNAcentral.
GGGGCAGCAAUGCCCUGAGAGCGGCGCACGGGUGCGUAACGCGUAUGCAACCUGCCUUAUACAGGGGGAUAGCCCAUGGAAACGUGGAUUAAUAUCCCAUAGGACUUAUAGAUCGCAUGGUUAAUAAGUUAAAACUACGGUGGUAUAAGAUGGGCAUGCGUCUGAUUAGGCAGUUGGUAGGGUAACGGCCUACCAAGCCGACGAUCAGUAGGGGUUCUGAGAGGAUUACCCCCCACACUGGUACUGAGACACGGACCAGACUCCUACGGGAGGCAGCAGUGAGGAAUAUUGGUCAAUGGGCGAGAGCCUGAACCAGCCAUCCCGCGUGCAGGAUGACGGCCCUAUGGGUUGUAAACUGCUUUUCUGCCCCAAGAAACCUGAUUACGUGUAAUCAGUUGACGGUAGGGUAGGAAUAAGCAUCGGCUAACUCCGUGCCAGCAGCCGCGGUAAUACGGAGGAUGCAAGCGUUAUCCGGAUUCAUUGGGUUUAAAGGGUGCGCAGGCGGAAUGAUAAGUCAGUGGUGAAAUCUCUCGGCUCAACUGAGAAACUGCCAUUGAUACUGUCGUUCUUGAGUACACUUGGAGUGGGCGGAAUGUGUCAUGUAGCGGUGAAAUGCUUAGAUAUGACACAGAACACCGAUCGCGAAGGCAGCUCACUAAGUUGUAACUGACGCUCAGGCACGAAAGCGUGGGGAUCAAACAGGAUUAGAUACCCUGGUGGUCCACGCUGUAAACGAUGAUCACUCGAUGUUGGCGAUAUACUGUCAGCGUCUAAGCGAAA